GCUUACGGCCAUACCACCUUAGGCACGCCCGAUCUCGUCUGAUCUCGGAAGCUAAGCAGGGUCGGGCUUGGUUAGUACUUGGAUGGGUGACCGCCUGGGAAUACCAGGUGCUGUAAGCA
This 119-nucleotide ribosomal RNA is filed under the name Gadus morhua (Atlantic cod). Lineage: Eukaryota; Metazoa; Chordata; Actinopteri; Gadiformes; Gadidae. The record is from RNAcentral.